Molecule: long non-coding RNA, 557 nt
Organism: Cervus elaphus (red deer)
Lineage: Eukaryota; Metazoa; Chordata; Mammalia; Artiodactyla; Cervidae
Exons: 3
Source: RefSeq, a predicted model, not a curated record
GUGACGCUUCCUAAGGCCCACUUGACUUCGCAUUCCAGGAUGUCUAGCUCUAGGAACCUGGGAAUGUCACUUAAUCUCAGUUUUUCCACAUCUGGCUGUACUUCAGGGCUGUACACCUUGGGAGGUUUUUAAAAAACAGGGAUCACUCUCCACCUCCAGGCAUGCCAAGCAACAGUUUACAUAACUCUCAUGAGUGACUGUGAUGUGCUGCUAAAUCUGAGAAAGAAAGGGUCUAACUUCACUUUGCUCAUUUGGGAAACAAUUGGCCCUGCUGCCUCACAGGAUGUCAUUAAGGUGUACAACAAUUCCCAAAGAAAGGCAAUGCCAAAGAAUGCUCAAACUACUGAACAAUUGCACUCAUUUCACACGCUAGUAAGGUAAUGCUCAAAAUUCUUCAAGCUAGGCUUCAACAGUACGUGAACUGUGAACUCCCAAAUGCUCAAGCUGGACUUAGUAAAGGCAGAGGGACCAGAGAUCAAAUUGCCAACCUCUGUUGGAUCAUCGAAAAAGCACAAGAGUUCCGGAAAAACAUCUAUUUCUCUUUAUUGACUAUGCCA